Biomphalaria pfeifferi is the source of this 1271-nucleotide non-coding RNA. NCBI's taxonomy places the organism in Eukaryota, Metazoa, Mollusca, Gastropoda, Planorbidae. The record is from the annotation of a GenBank genome assembly.
AUAUAUAUAUAUAUAGUGUGUGUGUGAACUAUAUUUCUGUGUAUUUCCAAUCGAAUUUCUAAUAUGUAUACAUUUAUAUAUAUUAGAAAUACACAGAAAUAUCAUACAUACAUAAAUAUAUCUGUGUGCCUAUUUAUAAACCUUUAAACUUACUAUGUCUGCAAAGUUGAUUGUUUUGGAUUAUGUGAAUGCAAAUGAAUGUACAAAGUAUGUACCAAUUGGAUUCCUCUCUAGUUCUCAUUUCACCCUUUUGAUCAAGAAUCUUAAAUUUAGUUAAUAAUGCCGUUUUUUUGGUUAUAAACUACUUGAUAUGCACAUAUAUUUUUAUUGUCAAUUUUGAUAUAAACAUCAUGAAUAAUUAUUUCUUUAAUAUUAUUAUUAUUUUAAAAUUGAUUUUGUAUAGCACAACUUGCAUGCUAACAGCAUACUCAGAGACCUAUGAUCCAAAAUCUUUUGUGAACCAGUGGGCGCUGUACCAGGUAGGAAGUUUCCAUGCUGCCUUUAGGCACUCCGCACAAUUCAGCUCGUAUCAGGAAUUGAACUCAAGCCCCCUAGGUAGCCAAAUAGUAUUUGCCACUGAGCCACACAUCCAAAGUUCCAGCACAAUGCCCAACAGCCUUUACUUCAACCAACUAAAGUCAGGUACCAAUUAGAGUUGGAUGGAUUCAGGGGCGUCUUAGAAAUCUCAAAAUAAAAAAUCUGUGUCUUCAGAGUCCUAAUUCUUGGUUCAAAAGCCAAGUGCUAUAUCAUUCGUGAUAUGAUUUAGCUUAAAUACAAUACAAAUUUCCAUUGAUUGAUGGAUGCUUAGAUUUUUUGUCACAAUUGAAAUUACUUAGAAACAAACAUACUGGUGCCAAGUAAAACUGGUGUUGCCAACUUUUGUUUCAUUUUGCUUGCAAUCAUCCCAUUAUAUGAACUUAAUGUCUAUGUUGAUUAGAAUGGUAAAGAUACACAAUUGUCUUUCACUUUGAUGCUCAAAAGUAUCAAAUAGAAAUUUGAUAUUCCUUGAUUCUGAUGUUUACUAUAACAAUACGCUUUGUAAUAUGUACAUUCACUUUCUGUUUGAGAAGUCAUAUUAUAUAGAUAUACUUUGAAUCAUUGUAGCAAAAGUUAAUUUGCCUUUGGGCCUGUCUUUUAUGUAUCCAAAGAAAAUGUUUUUGAUAGAAUUUAUAUUUGGUGCCUUACUAUUUAUGGUAUUAGACACUGAACUUAAUAGAUAUUAACUAAUAAAAUCCUUAUUUACAAUUGCACAUGAUUUGUUGUAUGUAGCC